RNAcentral lists this ribosomal RNA (466 nucleotides) under uncultured bacterium. Its description in RNAcentral is "partial 16S ribosomal RNA". It matches the Rfam family "Bacterial small subunit ribosomal RNA", at positions 28 to 507 of the family's 1533-position model. The record is from RNAcentral.
GAUGAACGCUGGCGGCGUGCUUAACACAUGCAAGUCGAACGGAAAGGCUCCUGCUUGCAGGGGUACUCGAGUGGCGAACGGGUGAGUAACACGUGGGUGAUCUGCCCAGCACUUCGGGAUAAGCCUGGGAAACUGGGUCUAAUACCGGAUAGGACGAUGGUUUGGAUGCCAUUGUGGAAAGUUUUUUCGGUGUGGGAUGAGCUCGCGGCCUAUCAGCUUGUUGGUGGGGUAAUGGCCUACCAAGGCGUCGACGGGUAGCCGGCCUGAGAGGGUGUACGGCCACAUUGGGACUGAGAUACGGCCCAGACUCCUACGGGAGGCAGCAGUGGGGAAUAUUGCACAAUGGGCGCAAGCCUGAUGCAGCGACGCCGCGUGGGGGAUGACGGCCUUCGGGUUGUAAACUACUUUCGCUAGGGACGAAGCGCAAGUGACGGUACCUGGAGAAGAAGCACCGGCUAACUACGUG